GACGAACGCUGGCGGCGUGCUUAACACAUGCAAGUCGAACGGAAAGGCCCUGCUUUUGUGGGGUGCUCGAGUGGCGAACGGGUGAGUAACACGUGAGUAACCUGCCCUUGACCUUGGGAUAACUUCAGGAAACUGGGGCUAAUACCGGAUAGGAGCUCCUGCUGCAUGGUGGGGGUUGGAAAGUUUCGGCGGUUGGGGAUGGACUCGCGGCUUAUCAGCUUGUUGGUGGGGUAGUGGCUUACCAAGGCUUUGACGGGUAGCCGGCCUGAGAGGGUGACCGGCCACAUUGGGACUGAGCUACGGCCCAGACUCCUACGGGAGGCAGCAGUGGGGAAUAUUGCACAAUGGGCGGAAGCCUGAUGCAGCAACGCCGCGUGCGGGAUGACGGCCUUCGGGUUGUAAACCGCUUUCGCCUGUGACGAAGCGUGAGUGACGGUAAUGGGUAAAGAAGCACCGGCUAACUACGUG
This 468-nucleotide ribosomal RNA is filed under the name uncultured bacterium. Its description in RNAcentral is "partial 16S ribosomal RNA". It matches the Rfam family "Bacterial small subunit ribosomal RNA", at positions 28 to 507 of the family's 1533-position model. The record is from RNAcentral.